AUUGAACGCUGGCGGCAGGCCUAACACAUGCAAGUCGAGCGGCAGCGGAAAGUAGCUUGCUACUUUGCCGGCGAGCGGCGGACGGGUGAGUAAUGUCUGGGAAACUGCCUGAUGGAGGGGGAUAACUACUGGAAACGGUAGCUAAUACCGCAUAACGUCGCAAGACCAAAGAGGGGGACCUUCGGGCCUCUUGCCAUCAGAUGUGCCCAGAUGGGAUUAGCUAGUAGGUGGGGUAACGGCUCACCUAGGCGACGAUCCCUAGCUGGUCUGAGAGGAUGACCAGCCACACUGGAACUGGGACACGGUCCAGACUCCUACGGGAGGCAGCAGUGGGGAAUAUUGCACAAUGGGCGCAAGCCUGAUGCAGCCAUGCCGCGUGUAUGAAGAAGGCCUUCGGGUUGUAAAGUACUUUCAGCGGGGAGGAAGGUGUUGAGGUUAAUAACCUCAGCAAUUGACGUUACCCGCAGAAGAAGCACCGGCUAACUCCGUGCCAGCAGCCGCAGUAA
RNAcentral lists this ribosomal RNA (506 nucleotides) under uncultured bacterium. Its description in RNAcentral is "partial 16S ribosomal RNA". It matches the Rfam family "Bacterial small subunit ribosomal RNA", at positions 30 to 523 of the family's 1533-position model. The record is from RNAcentral.